This 655-nucleotide ribosomal RNA is filed under the name uncultured soil bacterium. RNAcentral describes it as "bacterial SSU rRNA". It matches the Rfam family "Bacterial small subunit ribosomal RNA", at positions 358 to 1005 of the family's 1533-position model. The record is from RNAcentral.
GGAAUUUUGGACAUGGGGGCAACCCUGAUCCAGCCAUUCCGCGUGAGUGAAGAAGGCCUUCGGGUUGUAAAGCUCUUUCAGCAGGAACGAAACGGUGGCCCCUAAUACGGGCUACUAAUGACGGUACCUGAAGAAGAAGCACCGGCUAACUACGUGCCAGCAGCCGCGGUAAUACGUAGGGUGCGAGCGUUAAUCGGAAUUACUGGGCGUAAAGCGUGCGCAGGCGGUUCCAUAAGACAGAUGUGAAAUCCCCGGGCUUAACCUGGGACCUGCAUUUGUGACUGUAUAGCUAGAGUACGGUAGAGGGGGAUGGAAUUCCGCGUGUAGCAGUGAAAUGCGUAGAGAUGUGGAGGAACACCGAUGGCGAAGGCAGCCCCCUGGGUCAACACUGACGCUCAUGCACGAAAGCGUGGGGAGCAAACAGGAUUAGAUACCCUGGUAGUCCACGCCCUAAACGAUGCGAACUAGGUGUUGGGGAAGGAGACUUUCUUAGUACCGCAGCUAACGCGUGAAGUUCGCCGCCUGGGGAGUACCGNCGCAAGAUUAAAACUCAAAGGAAUUGACGGGGACCCGCACAAGCGGUGGAUGAUGUGGAUUAAUUCGAUGCAACGCGAAAAACCUUACCUACCCUUGACAUGUAGGAAGUCUGUGAGAG